GUUUACAAUAAACUGACAGCCGAUAAACAGCCUUCCUAACACACGCACAGAGUCUUGGUACCGAAUGUUUUUCAAGGCAAAGCUGGGCUGUUCUUUUUACCGAUCCAUGCUAGUGAUCUUGACAUGUCUGUCUAUUUCAAGCCAACCUUGGGAGUAUAAAGGCUUGAAAAACUCACUCAGAAAUUGUAAUUCCACAAUGACGACUGUUUUGGGGAACUUCACAAACGG
Non-coding RNA from Paramuricea clavata, 228 nucleotides. NCBI's taxonomy places the organism in Eukaryota, Metazoa, Cnidaria, Anthozoa, Malacalcyonacea, Plexauridae. The record is from the annotation of a GenBank genome assembly.